AGAUAGAAACUCUUUUGUUUGCCUAAAUAUAUAGAUAUGAUAGAAUGCUUUGCGAAAUUGUACUUUAGAUAUAAAGUUGAGAAAGGGGUUUGAAGGCCACUAACUCGCUGAAGCUGGCAUAAUUAAUAACAGCCUAGCAGAAAUCCCUGGAACACUAGGACAAGAUAAACUUGGAGAGAGAAACAGUGAGAAAAGGUCAAUGGAACAGGAGUGAGGAAGACUUGAAGCCUCCCUUCUACGACCACAAGAGAGUAGAAAAGGAUCAUCUAAUGACCAGAGACACAUGCUCAGAAACGCCGGGAGAAAGCCACAUCACCAGGAGGCCGAAACGAAUAACAGGACAAACACGGAAGCGGGAAGCGCGGCAGCUCCGUGGGGAAGAGGUUUCUCCUCCUCCUCCCUGCCGCCCGGCGCCGACUUUUGCUUAUUGCUGGCUUGCUAUAAUUAAUAAAAACCUUUCCUUAUAUAUCUUUUUCUAGUGUGUUUAUAACAAAUUUGGUGCCGUGACUCGGAUGCAAUCUGCAGGACAGAUUCUCGGUACCACCGGUGGGCGCCCCCGCUUUAAUAUUUAGCGGUCCGGAGGACCGGUUUCUGCCUCAGUUGCACCGACGAACCUAAAAGAUCUAAGCAAUAAGCAAAAGGGAGACCGGUCGACCCCUUAAAAUCUGUGCACAGUGUCCGGACGAAGACGCAGGACGCGUACAACCCGGAGAUUGGGUGUUGAUAAGAAGUUGGAAAGAGAAUCCCCUAACACCGAAGUGGGAAGGACUGUAUCAAGUCUUACUAACAACUGAUUCUGCAAUCCGAACCGCAGAGAAAGGAUGGACACAUGCAAGUCGAAUUAAGGGACCUGUGGAGCCACAAAAAACAAACUAAUAACUAAAAAGUGGUUAGCCCGGCUGGGGACCUGAGACUUAAAAUAUCCUGG
This is a long non-coding RNA of Cyanistes caeruleus (blue tit), 928 nucleotides long. RefSeq lists it as uncharacterized. Lineage: Eukaryota; Metazoa; Chordata; Aves; Passeriformes; Paridae. The record is from RefSeq and is a predicted model, not a curated record.